GAUGAACGCUGGCGGCGUGCCUAAUACAUGCAAGUCGAGCGAACAGACGAGGAGCUUGCUCCUCUGACGUUAGCGGCGGACGGGUGAGUAACACGUGGAUAACCUACCUAUCAUACUGGGAUAACUUCGGGAGACCGGAGCUAAUACCGGAUAAUAUCUUGAACCGCAUGGUUCAAUAGUGAAAGACGGUUUUGUUCUCACUUAUAGAUGGCUCCUCGCCGUUUUAGCUAGUUGGUUAGUUAACGGCGUACCAAGGCUACGAGGCGUUGCCGACCUGAGGGGGUGAGAGGCCACCCGGGAACUUAGACACGGUCCAGACUCCUACGGGAGGCAGCAGUAGGGAAUCUUCCGCAAUGGGCGAAAGCCUGACGGAGCAACGCCGCGUGGGUGAGGGAGGUCUUCGGAUCGUAAAACUCUGUUAUUAGGGAAGAACAAAUGUGUAAGUAACUAUGCACGUCUUGACGGUACCUAAUCAGAAAGCCACGGCUAACUACGUG
RNAcentral lists this ribosomal RNA (497 nucleotides) under uncultured bacterium. Its description in RNAcentral is "partial 16S ribosomal RNA". It matches the Rfam family "Bacterial small subunit ribosomal RNA", at positions 28 to 507 of the family's 1533-position model. The record is from RNAcentral.